GUCUGGGCCAACAAGGCCUCAAAAUGAUACCCAUAAGACAACAUGUACAUAACAAAGUGUAAGAGAAGAACCACCUAAACAUAUACGUAUAUGUAAGGUCGACAAGGCCACAAUAUAUAUCAACUGACCAACAGGAUGGCCGGCAAGGCCAUGCAAAAUAGCUGUACAUACGACCCAAGCCUACAAGCCUCUAGGAGUAGCAUAACUUAGAGAAGAUCGGGACAGGACCCCGUCAUACCCAAAACAAAAUGCAUAUAUACAUAAGCAGCACAGCCUACCUCUCUAUAGCAACUCCAGGAGAAGUGGCGUGCGUCGAUCAACCAUAGAACUGGACAACCUACUGGGGAGGUUCGUCGGCCUAUCUACCCAACCUGCGGGCAUAAGACACGGCAUAAGACACAGUGCCCCAGCAAAGGGAUGUCGGUACGAAAGAAUGUACUAACAUGUAAGGCAGAUAAAAUAUAUAUAGAAAUGUAACUCAAGGGAAAGACAGUAAGGGUCAACCUGGGACAACCCAACCAACGCAUCUUGUCUAGUGCCUCAACCUAUAAUGACGACAACGCUUCCGUUAAGCUAAGAAAAUACUGGUAUAUCAUGUAUUUUGAGCGACAAGCUUAUUUUAUAAUGAAUCAGACUCCCCUAUUUCUUCCAACUUCCACAAGUACAAGAACAACAACAAUCAUCUUAAAUUCACCAAUUUCAAUCAUCAAACAAUUUAGAAUAGCUAUCAAACAGCCCACACGAUAAUAACAACAUCAAAAUACGAUUUCCCAUUAUUAAUUUUGUAUUUCUCAUCCCAUAAUUUAACUACGACCUGGACGAACUUAAAUAUAUCUGGGAGAGGAGAAUUCUUAUCUUAUAUGCCAAGAACUACUCUCCUUCUACCUUACUUCACUUGGAAGAAAUCUCUGAUUUGCUAUCCCCUAAAGGAAACCGACGUGGGUAUAAUCGUUAUGCUUCUUCGUGUUCGCCUUAGUCGUAGGACUUAGUAUCUUUUUGUUGAGAAGAAAUGUAAUUUAUCUUCUAAAAAAUACAGAAAACGUUGCUGCACACCACGGAAAUUAUGUUGCUGCCCAUAUUUUCCUAAAGAAAAUUAUCUCCACUUUAAGAUGUUAAGAAAAUGUAUAUAGUGUGUCUCUAUGUAUAUAUAAUACU
Molecule: long non-coding RNA, 1155 nt
Filed under: Nicotiana tabacum (common tobacco)
Lineage: Eukaryota; Viridiplantae; Streptophyta; Magnoliopsida; Solanales; Solanaceae
Description: long non-coding RNA (NTAB_LNC007351)
Source: RNAcentral